GGAAAUGCCAUAGCUCAGUGGUAGAACAAUUGCCUUGCAUGCAGAAGGUCCCAGCUUCACUCUCUGGCAUCUCCA
Molecule: non-coding RNA, 75 nt
Organism: Podarcis lilfordi (Lilford's wall lizard)
Lineage: Eukaryota; Metazoa; Chordata; Lepidosauria; Squamata; Lacertidae
Source: the annotation of a GenBank genome assembly